AGAUGAUUUCUCUUGCAUGCAGUC
This 24-nucleotide non-coding RNA is filed under the name Arabidopsis thaliana (thale cress). Lineage: Eukaryota; Viridiplantae; Streptophyta; Magnoliopsida; Brassicales; Brassicaceae. The record is from RNAcentral.